AUUGACCUCGGAUCAAGGAGGAAUACCCGCUGAACUUAA
This 39-nucleotide ribosomal RNA is filed under the name Purpureocillium lilacinum. RNAcentral describes it as "partial 28S ribosomal RNA". The record is from RNAcentral. Lineage: Eukaryota; Fungi; Ascomycota; Sordariomycetes; Hypocreales; Ophiocordycipitaceae.